This 784-nucleotide long non-coding RNA is filed under the name Anas platyrhynchos platyrhynchos (common mallard). Its description in RNAcentral is "lncRNA (ENSAPLG00000021815.1)". The record is from RNAcentral. Lineage: Eukaryota; Metazoa; Chordata; Aves; Anseriformes; Anatidae.
AUGGGUAAAUUAACCUCCCUGAGCUCCGGGAUGCCACAGCUGGAUUGCUACCUCUCCCUGGCAUGCUUCAUCAAAAGCUGUGCUAGGAACUUCUCAUGGCAAGCACAGGGGAGGGCCCCCAAAGCCUGCCCAUGGCAGAAGGAUCUUGUCCUUGUUACACCCUCUGUCCUCUCUGCACUGAGGAGGAGUCUCAUCCUGGUGGGAUUGGAAACCUGGAGCAAGAGAGCUACAAGCCUGAGACAGGAGAGCAAAUGAUGAGGUGAUGAUGGUGAUCUGGUGAAGCCUUGGAGGAGACUGAAUGACCCAGGUCUGCAACCACACCUGCAGGCAGACGAAGGAUGCACGAUUAACACCCCCUGAUGUGAUAAGCUGUGAAGGGAACUGUGCUGCUGCACUAAUUCAAGGCACUAUUUUCUGUGCCCAAAAAUCUACAGUUCCUGAUAUGUGGUUUAGGGGACAGUCACAGCAGGAGGUUCCCCUGGCACCCUGGGACUGGUGAGCCCACAUUUGUAGGUAAAUACACCUACAGCUAGUGAGGUGUUUCUCUUCCUACAACUCCCAUGUUAUAUUUGUCAUUAUUCUCCAACAUAUCUCAGUACCUGAGCCAUAAAACAAGGACCAGAUCUUGCCUGGAAGAUUGAGAUCAGAUUUUCAGAACACUGGUUGCCUUACAUUGAGCAUUCAUACAGCAUCCACAAAUGUGGGGCUGUGGUCUCAGCAGGCAUCUCGUGGUUGACAGUCAUACAAAAAAAUCACAAUAAACCAGAAGAGAGAAGUAAGAUCA